AUUGAACGCUGGCGGCAGGCCUAACACAUGCAAGUCGAGCGGAUGAAGGGAGCUUGCUCCUGGAUUCAGCGGCGGACGGGUGAGUAAUGCCUAGGAAUCUGCCAGGUAGUGGGGGAUAACGUCCGGAAACGGGCGCUAAUACCGCAUACGUCCUGAGGGAGAAAGUGGGGGAUCUUCGGACCUCACGCUAUCAGAUGAGCCUAGGUCGGAUUAGCCAGUUGGUGGGGUAAAGGCCUACCAAGGCGACGAUCCGUAACUGGUCUGAGAGGAUGAUCAGUCACACUGGAACUGAGACACGGUCCAGACUCCUACGGGAGGCAGCAGUGGGGAAUAUUGGACAAUGGGCGAAAGCCUGAUCCAGCCAUGCCGCGUGUGUGAAGAAGGUCUUCGGAUUGUAAAGCACUUUAAGUUGGGAGGAAGGGCAGUAAGUUAAUACCUUGCUGUUUUGACGUUACCAACAGAAUAAGCACCGGCUAACUUCGUG
This 484-nucleotide ribosomal RNA is filed under the name uncultured bacterium. RNAcentral describes it as "partial 16S ribosomal RNA". It matches the Rfam family "Bacterial small subunit ribosomal RNA", at positions 30 to 507 of the family's 1533-position model. The record is from RNAcentral.